GUCUUUUGUGAGUACCCUAAGGUUUCUGCCUAAGAUUCGAAAAGUGAGAAGGUGAGCUACGAGUGUUGUAAGCCCACCAAACUUUAGGGAGAGCUUCAUCAAUCUUUUAAGUUCUUUUGCUGAUGAUCCAUAGCAUCCGAAGAGUUGGCAGACAUCGAUCGAAGGAGUUCGAUCAGAAUCAGUCGUCAAAAGAGUUCUACAACGAACUAGCAUUCGUAAGGAGCCGAUCAGG
Molecule: long non-coding RNA, 232 nt
Filed under: Elaeis guineensis (African oil palm)
Lineage: Eukaryota; Viridiplantae; Streptophyta; Magnoliopsida; Arecales; Arecaceae
Description: long non-coding RNA (EGUI_LNC077297)
Source: RNAcentral